AGCAGCCGCGGUAAUUCCAGCUCCAAUAGCGUAUAUUAAAGUUNGUUGCAGUUAAAAAGCUCGUAGUUGAAUUUCGGGGUUAGUAGGUUGGUCAUGCCUCUGGUAUGUACUGGUCUCACUGAUUCCUCCUUCCUGAUGAGCCGUAAUGCCAUUAAUUUGGUGUUGCGGGGAAUUUGGACUGUUACUUUGAAAAAGUUAGAGUGUUUAAAGCAAGCUAACGCUUGAAUACAUUAGCAUGGAAUAAUGAAAUAGGACGUUCGAUCCUAUUUUGUUGGUUUCUAGGAUUGACGUAAUGAUUAAUAGGGAUAGUUGGGGGCAUUAGUAUUCAAUUGUCAGAGGUGAAAUUCUUGGAUUUAUUGAAGACUAACUACUGCGAAAGCAUUUGCCAAGGAUGUUUUCAUUAAUCAAGAACGAAAGUUAGGGGAUCGAAGACGAUCAGAUACCGUCGUAGUCUUAACCAUAAACUAUGCCGACUAGGGAUCGGAUGAUGUUAAUUUUUUAAUGACUCAUUCGGCGCCUUACG
This 523-nucleotide ribosomal RNA is filed under the name uncultured Rhizophagus. Its description in RNAcentral is "SSU rRNA". It matches the Rfam family "Eukaryotic small subunit ribosomal RNA", at positions 569 to 1092 of the family's 1831-position model. Lineage: Eukaryota; Fungi; Glomeromycota; Glomeromycetes; Glomerales; Glomeraceae. The record is from RNAcentral.